Molecule: ribosomal RNA, 497 nt
Filed under: uncultured bacterium
Lineage: Bacteria
Description: partial 16S ribosomal RNA
Rfam family: Bacterial small subunit ribosomal RNA
Source: RNAcentral
GAUGAACGCUGGCGGCGUGCCUAAUACAUGCAAGUCGAGCGAACGGAGGAGAAGUUUGCUUCGAUGAUGUUAGCGGCGGACGGGUGAGGAAUAGGUGGAUAACCGACAUAUAAGACUGGGAUAACGUCAGGAAACCUGAGAUAAUACCGGAUGAUAUGGUGAACGGGAUGGUUCAAAAGAGAAAGACGGUCUUGAUGUCACUAAUAGGUAGAACCGGGCUGGAUUAGCUAGUUGGUAAGGUAACGGCUUACCAAGGCAACGAUGCAUAGCCGACCUGAGAGGGUGAUCGGCCACACUGGAACUGAGACACGGUCCAGACUCCUACGGGAGGUAGCAGUAGGGAAUCUUCCGCAAUGGGCGAAAGCCUGACGGAGCAACGCCGCGUGAGUGAUGAAGGUCUUCGGAUCGUAAAACUCUUUUAUUAGGGAAGAACAUAUGUGUAAGUAACUCUUCACAUCUUGACGGUACCUAAUCAGAAAGCCACGGCUAACUACGUG